AAAAUUAAUUAAAAGAAAUACAAAUACAAGUAAACCGAAGAAAGAAUAGUGAAAACCCUACUUUCUAUUCAAAAUUCCAUGAAUUUCAUCUUUUUCGAUGCAGCGCCGCUGCGUCCUCUUCUUCUUCUUCUUGCGCUUUUCUUCUUUCUACAACGUCGCCCUUUUCAUUUUCUUCGUCUUCUUUCUGCAACGGUUAUCUUCUUCUUCUUCUUCUUUUUUCUUUCUUUUUUUGCAAAAUAAUUUCAUUACCUUCUUCUUAAUUCUCAUAAACAAUAGUGGUGAAACUGCAAUUUUCAGAAUUAUGUAUAGUUGAAAGCGUCGAUAGCCCC
Molecule: long non-coding RNA, 329 nt
Filed under: Salvia miltiorrhiza (redroot sage)
Lineage: Eukaryota; Viridiplantae; Streptophyta; Magnoliopsida; Lamiales; Lamiaceae
Description: long non-coding RNA (SMIL_LNC000169)
Source: RNAcentral